GCUCCUAUCGUCCAGCUCGGCCAAGGACACUGGGCUUUCAACCCAGGAACUCGGGUUCAAAUCCCGAUGGGAGCA
Molecule: transfer RNA, 75 nt
Filed under: Microcaldota archaeon
Lineage: Archaea; Nanobdellati; Microcaldota
Also listed under: 2 other names
Description: tRNA-Glu
Rfam family: tRNA
About the family: Transfer RNA (tRNA) molecules are approximately 80 nucleotides in length.
Source: RNAcentral